CGUGGGUAACCUGCCCCAUACAAAGGGAUAGCCACUGGAAACGGUGAUUAAUACCAUAUGAGAUCGUAGAGUCGCAUGACUGAGCGGUUAAAGAUUUAUCGGACAGGGAUGGCCAUGCGUACCAUUAGUUAGUUGGUGAGGUAACGGCUCACCAAGACAGCGAUGGUUAGGGGCCCUGAGAGGGGGAUCCCCCACACUGGUACUGAGACACGGACCAGACUCCUACGGGAGGCAGCAGUGAGGAAUAUUGGACAAUGGCCGAAAGUUGAUCCAGCCAUGCCGCGUGCAGGAUGACUGCCCUAUGGUUGUAAACUGCUUUUACACGGGAAGAAACCUCCCCUCGUGAGGGGAGCUGACGGUACCGUGAGAAUAAGGACCGGCUAACUCCGUGCCAGCAGCCGCGGUAAUACGGAGGGUCCGAGCGUUAUCCGGAAUCAUUGGGCUUAAAGGGUCCGUAGCGGGCCGAUAAGUCAGGGGUGAAAGGCCACGGCUCAACCGUGGACUGCCCUUGAUACUGUCGGUCUUGAGUCGUUGUGGAGUUGCCGGAACAUGUGGUGUAGCGGUGAAAUGCAUAGAUAUCACAUAGAACACCGAUCGCGAAGCAGGUGACUAACAACGUACUGACGCUGAUGGACGAAAGCGUGGGGAGCGAACGGGAUUAGAUACCCCGGUAGUCCACGCCGUAAACGAUGGACACUAGCUGUCGGGCCUUCGGCUCGGCGGCCAAGCGAAAGUGAUAAGUGUCCCACCUGGGGAGUACGUUCGCAAGAAUGAAACUCAAAGGAAUUGACGGGGGCCCGCACAAGCGUGGAGCAUGUGGUUUAAUUCGAUGAUA
This 835-nucleotide ribosomal RNA is filed under the name uncultured bacterium. Its description in RNAcentral is "bacterial SSU rRNA". It matches the Rfam family "Bacterial small subunit ribosomal RNA", at positions 116 to 959 of the family's 1533-position model. The record is from RNAcentral.